AGAUGUGGCUCAGUGGUAAGAGCAUCCUCUUGGGAAGAGUGAGGCCCUGAGUUUAAACCUCAGGACAGCUA
Molecule: transfer RNA, 71 nt
Filed under: Dipodomys ordii (Ord's kangaroo rat)
Lineage: Eukaryota; Metazoa; Chordata; Mammalia; Rodentia; Heteromyidae
Rfam family: tRNA
About the family: Transfer RNA (tRNA) molecules are approximately 80 nucleotides in length. Their secondary structure includes four short double-helical elements and three loops (D, anti-codon, and T loops).
Source: Rfam by way of RNAcentral